GGAUGUGAGGGUGUUCUGGCUGCGACAUCUGUCAUCCCGUUGAUCGCCAGGGUUGAUUCGGCUGAUCUGGCUGGCUAGGUGGGUGUCCCCUUCCUACCUCACCACUCCAUGUGCGUCCCUCCCGAAGCUGCGUGCUCGGUCAAAGAGGACGACCUUCCCCGAUAGAGGAGGACCGUUCUUCAGUCAAGGGUAUAGGAGUAGCUGCGCUCCCCUGCUAGAACCUCCAAACAAGCUCUCAAGAUAGUUGGAAUUUUAUAGGCCUUUCAUUGACUUUGUCUUCCAGUCCUGCACAUGGAAUGUCGUCCUAUUUAU
RNAcentral lists this small nuclear RNA (312 nucleotides) under Prolemur simus (greater bamboo lemur). RNAcentral describes it as "7SK RNA (ENSPSMG00000006536.1)". It matches the Rfam family "7SK RNA". From Rfam's summary of the family: 7SK was discovered as an abundant small nuclear RNA in the mid-70s but a possible function has only recently been suggested. Two independent studies have found that 7SK RNA binds the CDK9/cyclin T complex (known as elongation factor P-TEFb). Lineage: Eukaryota; Metazoa; Chordata; Mammalia; Primates; Lemuridae. The record is from RNAcentral.